UCAUAAUCUACCCUGUGAAUCUAGAUCCAACAAUCCAACAUCCAAAUGUAAGCGAUAUAUUUUUUCUAUAUCUUCAAACUAUUCAACUACUGGCACAGGAGGAUAUGGAUAUCUGAACAUCGUGGAUUCUUUUGAUAAAGUUAUCGAUCUGCGUUUUUUCAGUCUUGAUAAUCAACAAAACCUUUUUGUGUCGAUUUCAAAAACAAAUUCUCUAUCAUGCACAUAGAUCAAAAAACUAGCAAAGAUCCGCAACAUUUUAAAACAAUAAACAUUCAAGUAGAAUCAGAUCGGUACCAGUUAGGUGUUCAUAGCAUUUCAAGAGUCGGUUUUUUGGGUUUGUCCUGAGGCCCUUGCACCUUAUUUCCAAGAUGACGUCGAUCUUGACGGAAGUUGCAGAUCUGAUCAGUAGUUCUUGACAUGUUUAUUCCUUAAAUAUCAAUAAAUUUGGUCCCUGUAGUAUACCGCUUGUUUUAGUUUUGGUCCAAGGUUUAAAUGGUCAUUCAAAAAAAUCCAGUAAUGCUGUGUUUUCAUUUCUGAUUGUUACGUUUAUCCUCCUUGCAGUGUGAAAGGGAAUACAGUAUUGGGUGAUUGAGGGCA
This is a non-coding RNA of Lactuca sativa (garden lettuce), 597 nucleotides long. NCBI's taxonomy places the organism in Eukaryota, Viridiplantae, Streptophyta, Magnoliopsida, Asterales, Asteraceae. The record is from RefSeq and is a predicted model, not a curated record.